GACGAACGCUGGCGGCAUGCCUAACACAUGCAAGUCGAACGAGACCUUCGGGUCUAGUUGCGCACGGGUGCUUGACGCGUGGUAACCUGCCCGUAGGUUCGGAAUAACUCCCCGAAAGGUGUGCUAAUACCGGUUAAUGUCUUCGGACCAAAGAUUUAUCGCCGUUGGGUGGGCCCGGGUUGGAUUAGUUGGUUGGUAGUGUAAAAGCCUACCAAGGGGACGAUGCAGAGCUGGUCUGAGAGGAUGAUAAGCCACAAUGGGACUGAGACACGGCCCAGAACCCGACGGGAGGGAGCAGUGGGGAAUAUUGGACGAUGGGCGAAAGUCUGAUCAAGCAAUGCCGCGUGAGUGAUGAAGGCCUUAGGGUUGUAAAGCUCUUUUAGACGGGAUGAUAAUGACAGUACCGGGAGAAUAAGCUCCGGCUAACUCCGUG
RNAcentral lists this ribosomal RNA (433 nucleotides) under uncultured bacterium. RNAcentral's name for it is "partial 16S ribosomal RNA". It matches the Rfam family "Bacterial small subunit ribosomal RNA", at positions 28 to 507 of the family's 1533-position model. The record is from RNAcentral.